CUGAAUUUAAUUGCCUGCAAUCCUUGUCCAGGAAUGCAUUACCGCUGAACUGAGAGAGCUGCCGAGAAGAGAAGAUGGAUGGUUUCUGUGAGGAUUUCAUCUAUCUAAUUAUUUCUCCCUGAUGACAUAGCUACUCCAGAUUUUUCAUCUUACUCUAAUCACAGCCAACAAGAUGGAGAUUUACAGUUGGCAGAAGCUGUUCAUGUGAAUUAUAUCAGAUACAGAAACAUUCACUGUGAAUUAUUCUAAAGCCAGUGCUUUUGUUCAUCCAAGAAACCAGAAGACUGAAACUCGGAAGGGCAUCAAUGAAGGGAUUAGGAAAGAUCAUCAAGUAUAAGGACAUGUCACUGGAACCAAAGCCAAGAUUAUCCACACUUUUGUAUUCUUGACCACCAUGUAUGGGCAUAAAAGCUGAACAGUAAAGGAAGCUAACGGGAAAAAUGAUUCAUUUGAAAUAUGGUCUUGGAGGAGAUCUUUGUGGAUAGCCUAGGCUGCCAAAAAGAUG
Non-coding RNA from Pogona vitticeps (central bearded dragon), 505 nucleotides. Lineage: Eukaryota; Metazoa; Chordata; Lepidosauria; Squamata; Agamidae. The record is from RefSeq and is a predicted model, not a curated record.